GCUGAAAUAGCUCACUUGGGAGAGUGCUAGACUGAAGAUCUGAAGGUCCCAUUCCAAUACUGGGUUUUAGCA
Molecule: transfer RNA, 72 nt
Filed under: Oreochromis niloticus (Nile tilapia)
Lineage: Eukaryota; Metazoa; Chordata; Actinopteri; Cichliformes; Cichlidae
Also listed under: 3 other names
Rfam family: tRNA
About the family: Transfer RNA (tRNA) molecules are approximately 80 nucleotides in length. Their secondary structure includes four short double-helical elements and three loops (D, anti-codon, and T loops). Further hydrogen bonds mediate the characteristic L-shaped molecular structure. tRNAs have two regions of fundamental functional importance: the anti-codon, which is responsible for specific mRNA codon recognition, and the 3' end, to which the tRNAs corresponding amino acid is attached (by aminoacyl-tRNA synthetases). tRNAs cope with the degeneracy of the genetic code in two manners: having more than one tRNA (with a specific anti-codon) for a particular amino acid; and 'wobble' base-pairing, i.e. permitting non-standard base-pairing at the 3rd anti-codon position.
Source: Rfam by way of RNAcentral